This 488-nucleotide ribosomal RNA is filed under the name Streptomyces sp. 313H08. RNAcentral describes it as "bacterial SSU rRNA". It matches the Rfam family "Bacterial small subunit ribosomal RNA", at positions 93 to 595 of the family's 1533-position model. Lineage: Bacteria; Bacillati; Actinomycetota; Actinomycetes; Kitasatosporales; Streptomycetaceae. The record is from RNAcentral.
UAGUGGCGAACGGGUGAGUAACACGUGGGCAAUCUGCCCUUCACUCUGGGACAAGCCCUGGAAACGGGGUCUAAUACCGGAUAACACUCCUGCCUGCAUGGGCGGGGGUUAAAAGCUCCGGCGGUGAAGGAUGAGCCCGCGGCCUAUCAGCUUGUUGGUGGGGUAAUGGCCCACCAAGGCGACGACGGGUAGCCGGCCUGAGAGGGCGACCGGCCACACUGGGACUGAGACACGGCCCAGACUCCUACGGGAGGCAGCAGUGGGGAAUAUUGCACAAUGGGCGAAAGCCUGAUGCAGCGACGCCGCGUGAGGGAUGACGGCCUUCGGGUUGUAAACCUCUUUCAGCAGGGAAGAAGCGAAAGUGACGGUACCUGCAGAAGAAGCGCCGGCUAACUACGUGCCAGCAGCCGCGGUAAUACGUAGGGCGCAAGCGUUGUCCGGAAUUAUUGGGCGUAAAGAGCUCGUAGGCGGCUUGUCACGUCGGAUGU